UACGGAGGGGGCUAGCGUUGUUCGGAAUUACUGGGCGUAAAGCGCACGUAGGCGGCUUUGUAAGUUAGAGGUGAAAUCCCUCGGCUUAACCGAGGAACUGCCCUCCAAACUGCUUCGCUUGAGACCGGGAGAGGUGAGUGGAAUUCCCAGUGUAGCGGUGAAAUGCGUAGAUAUUGGGAGGAACACCAGUGGCGAAGGCGGCUCACUGGACCGGUACUGACGCUGAUGCGCGAAAGCGUGGGGAGCAAACGGG
This 253-nucleotide ribosomal RNA is filed under the name uncultured bacterium. Its description in RNAcentral is "partial 16S ribosomal RNA". It matches the Rfam family "Bacterial small subunit ribosomal RNA", at positions 524 to 776 of the family's 1533-position model. The record is from RNAcentral.